GAUUUUUCAACAAUGGCUGCAUCAGUUUUCUCUAAAGUCUCUACAGCUGAGGAUGCACGAACAGAGAAGUGCUGUUUAGUGACGGUAGUGGAAGGAAGAAUACGACGGUGAGAGGAAGUGAAAGGGGUGGAUUUAAGGCCAGAAAAAGUGGAGAAAGAGAUAGAAGGAGAAGAGGAAGAAGAUGAGCCAUGGCGAGGGAGAGAAGGAGAGAAAAUAGCUUGAGAAAGAGUGAGAGAAGAUGAAGAAGCCAUGGCUCUGUUUGUGUG
This 266-nucleotide unclassified non-coding RNA is filed under the name Hevea brasiliensis (rubber tree). Lineage: Eukaryota; Viridiplantae; Streptophyta; Magnoliopsida; Malpighiales; Euphorbiaceae. The record is from RNAcentral.